Molecule: ribosomal RNA, 537 nt
Filed under: uncultured Acidobacteriota bacterium
Lineage: Bacteria; Pseudomonadati; Acidobacteriota
Description: bacterial SSU rRNA
Rfam family: Bacterial small subunit ribosomal RNA
Source: RNAcentral
UUGAUCCUGGCUCAGAAUCAACGCUGGCGGCGUGCCUAACACAUGCAAGUCGAACGCGAAAGGGGAGCAAUCCCUGAGUAGAGUGGCAAACGGGUGAGUUACACGUGGGUGACCUGCCUUCGAGUGGGGGAUAACGUCCCGAAAGGGACUCUAAUACCGCAUGACAUCCUGUCCUUAGACGGACGGAGAUCAAAGCUAGUGAUCGCAAGACCUGGCGCUUGAAGAGGGGCCCGCGCCUGAUUAGCUAGUUGGUGAGGUAACGGCUCACCAAGGCUACGAUCAGUAUCCGGCCUGAGAGGUCGGACGGACACACUGGGACUGAGACACGGCCCAGACUCCUACGGGAGGCUGCAGUGGGGAAUUGUUCGCAAUGGGCGCAAGCCUGACGACGCAACGCCGUGUGGAGGAUGAAGAUCUUCGGGUCGUAAACUCCUGUCGAAUGGGAAGAAUGUUUCGCGGAUGAAUAAGCCGCGAAAGUGACGGUACCGUUAAAGGAAGCUCCGGCUAACUCCGUGCCAGCAGCCGCGGUAAUAAGGU